RNAcentral lists this ribosomal RNA (305 nucleotides) under uncultured bacterium. RNAcentral's name for it is "bacterial SSU rRNA". It matches the Rfam family "Bacterial small subunit ribosomal RNA", at positions 334 to 635 of the family's 1533-position model. The record is from RNAcentral.
UCUACCUACGGGGCGCAGCAGUGAGGAAUAUUGGUCAAUGGGCGGAAGCCUGAACCAGCCAAGUCGCGUGAGGGAAUAAGGCCCUACGGGUCGUAAACCUCUUUUGCCGGGGAGCAAGGGCGGGGACGUGUCCCGGCCCGGAGAGUACCCGGAGAAAAAGCAUCGGCUAACUCCGUGCCAGCAGCCGCGGUAAUACGUAGGGGGCAAGCGUUGUCCGGAAUUACUGGGUGUAAAGGGUGAGUAGGCGGCAUGGUAAGCCAGAUGUGAAAGCCUUGGGCUUAACCCGAGGAUUGCAUUUGGAACUA